GAUGAACGCUGGCGGCGUGCCUAAUACAUGCAAGUCGAGCGAACGGACGAGAAGCUUGCUUCUCUGAUGUUAGCGGCGGACGGGUGAGUAACACGUGGAUAACCUACCUAUAAGACUGGGGUAACUUCGGGAAACCGGAGCUAAUACCGGAUAAUAUUUUGAACCGCAUGGUUCAAAAGUGAAAGACGGUCUUGCUGUCACUUAUAGAUGGAUCCGCGCUGCAUUAGCUAGUUGGUAAGGUAACGGCUUACCAAGGCAACGAUGCAUAGCCGACCUGAGAGGGUGAUCGGCCACACUGGAACUGAGACACGGUCCAGACUCCUACGGGAGGCAGCAGUAGGGAAUCUUCCGCAAUGGGCGAAAGCCUGACGGAGCAACGCCGCGUGAGUGAUGAAGGUCUUCGGAUCGUAAAACUCUGUUAUUAGGGAAGAACAUAUGUGUAAGUAACUGUGCACAUCUUGACGGUACCUAAUCAGAAAGCCACGGCUAACUACGUGCCAGCAGCCGCGGUAAUACGUAGGUGGCAAGCGUUAUCCGGAAUUAUUGGGCGUAAAGCGCGCGUAGGCGGUUUUUUAAGUCUGAUGUGAAAGCCCACGGCUCAACCGUGGAGGGUCAUUGGAAACUGGAAAACUUGAGUGCAGAAGAGGAAAGUGGAAUUCCAUGUGUAGCGGUGAAAUGCGCAGAGAUAUGGAGGAACACCAGUGGCGAAGGCGACUUUCUGGUCUGUAACUGACGCUGAUGUGCGAAAGCGUGGGGAUCAAACAGGAUUAGAUACCCUGGUAGUCCACGCCGUAAACGAUGAGUGCUAAGUGUUAGGGGGUUUCCGCCCCUUAGUGCUGCAGCUAACGCAUUAAGCACUCCGCCUGGGGAGUACGACCGCAAGGUUGAAACUCAAAGGAAUUGACGGGGACCCGCACAAGCGGUGGAGCAUGUGGUUUAAUUCGAAGCAACGCGAAGAACCUUACCAAAUCUUGACAUCCUUUGACAACUCUAGAGAUAGAGCUUUCCCCUUCGGGGGACAAAGUGACAGGUGGUGCAUGGUUGUCGUCAGCUCGUGUCGUGAGAUGUUGGGUUAAGUCCCGCAACGAGCGCAACCCUUAAGCUUAGUUGCCAUCAUUAAGUUGGGCACUCUAAGUUGACUGCCGGUGACAAACCGGAGGAAGGUGGGGAUGACGUCAAAUCAUCAUGCCCCUUAUGAUUUGGGCUACACACGUGCUACAAUGGACAAUACAAAGGGCAGCGAAACCGCGAGGUCAAGCAAAUCCCAUAAAGUUGUUCUCAGUUCGGAUUGUAGUCUGCAACUCGACUACAUGAAGCUGGAAUCGCUAGUAAUCGUAGAUCAGCAUGCUACGGUGAAUACGUUCCCGGGUCU
Molecule: ribosomal RNA, 1372 nt
Filed under: uncultured bacterium
Lineage: Bacteria
Description: bacterial SSU rRNA
Rfam family: Bacterial small subunit ribosomal RNA
Source: RNAcentral